This 312-nucleotide ribosomal RNA is filed under the name uncultured bacterium. RNAcentral describes it as "bacterial SSU rRNA". It matches the Rfam family "Bacterial small subunit ribosomal RNA", at positions 29 to 323 of the family's 1533-position model. The record is from RNAcentral.
AACGAACGCUGGCGGUGUGCCUCAUACAUGCAAGUCGUACGCGAAUCCUGCCGCAAGGCAGGGUUUGAGUGGCAAACGGGUGCGUAACACGUAGGUAAUCUUCCUUUGAGUUGGGGAUAAGCCCUCGAAAGGGGGUCUAAUACCGAAUAACACUUCGGGCCGGCAUCGGCCUGAAAUUAAAGAUGGCCUCUGCUUGCAAGCUAUCGCUCGGAGAUGAGCCUGCGGCCGAUUAGUUAGUUGGCGGGAUAAAAGCCCACCAAGACUUCGAUCGGUAGCCGGUCUGAGAGGAUGUCCGGCCACACUGGGACUGAG